Molecule: ribosomal RNA, 468 nt
Filed under: uncultured bacterium
Lineage: Bacteria
Description: partial 16S ribosomal RNA
Rfam family: Bacterial small subunit ribosomal RNA
Source: RNAcentral
GACGAACGUUGGCGGCGUGCUUAACACAUGCAAGUCGAACGGAAAGGCCCUGCUUUUGUGGGGUGCUCGAGUGGCGAACGGGUGAGUAACACGUGAGUAACCUGCCCUUGACUUUGGGAUAACUUCAGGAAACUGGGGCUAAUACCGGAUAGGAGCUCCUGCUGCAUGGUGGGGGUUGGAAAGUUUCGGCGGUUGGGGAUGGACUCGCGGCUUAUCAGCUUGUUGGUGGGGUAGUGGCUUACCAAGGCUUUGACGGGUAGCCGGCCUGAGAGGGUGACCGGCGACAUUGGGACUGAGAUACGGCCCAGACUCCUACGGGAGGCAGCAGUGGGGAGUAUUGCACAAUGGGCGGAAGCCUGAUGCAGCAACGCCGCGUGCGGGAUGACGGCCUUCGGGUUGUAAACCGCUUUCGCCUGUGACGAAGCGUGAGUGACGGUAAUGGGUAAAGAAGCACCGGCUAACUACGUG